Molecule: ribosomal RNA, 245 nt
Filed under: uncultured bacterium
Lineage: Bacteria
Description: partial 16S ribosomal RNA
Rfam family: Bacterial small subunit ribosomal RNA
Source: RNAcentral
UACGGAGGAUGCGAGCGUUGUUCGGAAUUACUGGGCGUAAAGCGCACGUAGGUGGAUUCGUAAGUCGGUUGUGAAAUCCCCGGGCUUAACCCGGGAUGUGCAGUCGAAACUACGAACCUUGAAUGCCAGAGAGGGUGGCGGAAUUCCUGGUGUAGAAGUGAAAUUCGUAGAUAUCAGGAGGAACACCGGAGGCGAAGGCGGCUACCUGGCUGUGCAUUGACGCUGAGAGUGCGAAAGCGUGGGGA